Molecule: long non-coding RNA, 1382 nt
Organism: Apis mellifera (honey bee)
Lineage: Eukaryota; Metazoa; Arthropoda; Insecta; Hymenoptera; Apidae
Exons: 2
Source: RefSeq, a predicted model, not a curated record
UUUCAAUAUUCGAAUGUUACCAAUAUGUUAAUGAUUGUAUUUAACACUAUUUAUUUGAAUUCUAAUCGCUUUACUAAUCAUUUUAUCAAGUGCGCAUUUCGCGCAUACUUUUCCAACGUCUAAUUAAGAUGAUGAGCAUGUCACGUUUCGUUUACGAUCGUUGGAAUGUGAAAACUAUAAGACAAUGCUUUUUAAAUAAUUAACCAGUUAUUAUUCUAUGAAGAAUUACAUUAAGAAAGUUUCAUAUGCUUUCGCAUGCACUCUUUAUAAUGUUUUACAAUUAAAAUUUAUAGAGCGAAAAAUUCUUCUGAAUUUUGUUUUAAGACGUUUUUUUUUUUGAUCGAAUAUUCGAAAUCUACAAAGAAUAUUCGAAAGAAUUUGUUUUAAAACAAUAAUUAUUAUUUUAUAAAUUUUUAACACUUGAUCUUUUAUUAAUUUUGUGAUAUAGAUGUUUAUGAUUGAUUAUCACUUUGCAUUAAUUUAAAAAUUUUUUUUCAUUUUAUAUAAUAUUUCGUUUCAAUGUUUUUAUUUCUAUAUGUUUUUAUUAAUAUUAUCACACGAUACUUUUCUUGAAUAAACGCAUAUGUGAAUACACGCGAGUAUAAAGGACGUAAUGUUAUUAAAGUACACUGCACAAGUUUAAGAACAAAAAAAAAAAAGAUAGAAAGAAAAAUGAGCGAAAGAAAGAGAAGAAAUAGAGGGAUAGAAAACGUCACAUAUACGCAACGAAUAUCGUUCUUGCCGAAAGGCUGACCUCCCACCGACUGGAAAUCAUGAACGCACGCACGCACGCAUUUAUAGAGACCUUGUGUUCCUGCUUCGGCCAGUUCGUAUCCAAACUCGUGUUCCGGUCGAGUGUCGUGUGUUUAUGUUUAACUUCUCGUUCCUUCUCUCUUUCUCCUUCUAGAUAAUUAGCUGAUUUGAUUUGAUUUGAUUUUAUUCACAAAUUUUCGUUUUCAAAUAUUCGUAACUUUCUAUUCAGAUGUAUCUUUUUAUUCAUUAUGCUGCAUGGUUAAUCAGAUGAAUUAUGAAUAAUAUCAAUUUGAAAAAAGAUAUCAACUAAUUAGAUUAAUAACAAGUAUUAAAAAUAAAGUGGAAUGAUGAGUGAAAUUUCUAUAUACGAACCUAAAAGAAAAAGAUUAAAUUUGUAAUUCCACAUCAUAUCAGAUUUUUAGAAUGUAGUUUUAUGUUAUAUAUUAUAGAUAAUAUGGUUUACGUCACGAUUUGGACGCAUAUCUAUGAAAACAGAUGGUAGAGCAUGAAGGAGCUCGUUCGAUUUCUUCCUGCGUGCCUUUCUCUACCUUCUAUCUCCUUAUGAUGUAGAGAGACUAGGUUACCAGAAAAAUAGAAGCAAUGCAAAUAAAAAUUCGUUGGCACUAAUA